UAAGGAAUAUUGGUCAAUGGACGCAAGUCUGAACCAGCCAUGCCGCGCGAAGGAUGAAGGUCCUCUGGAUUGUAAACUUCUUUUAUCUGGGACGAAAACGGGAUUUUUAUCUCAAUUGACGGUACCAGAGGAAUAAGCACCGGCUAACUCCGUGCCAGCAGCCGCGGUAAUACGGAGGGUGCGAGCGUUAUCCGGAUUUACUGGGUUUAAAGGGUGCGUAGGUGGGCUUAUAAGUCAGUGGUGAAAUCUCCGAGCUUAACUUGGAAACUGCCGUUGAUACUAUAGGUCUUGAAUUAUCUGGAGGUAAGCGGAAUAUGUCAUGUGGCGGUGAAAUGCUUAGAUAUGACAUAGAACACCAAUUGCGAAGGCAGCUUACUACAUAUAAAUUGACGCUGAGGCACGAAAGCGUGGGGAUCAAACA
This 421-nucleotide ribosomal RNA is filed under the name uncultured bacterium. RNAcentral's name for it is "bacterial SSU rRNA". It matches the Rfam family "Bacterial small subunit ribosomal RNA", at positions 355 to 774 of the family's 1533-position model. The record is from RNAcentral.